Molecule: ribosomal RNA, 471 nt
Filed under: uncultured bacterium
Lineage: Bacteria
Description: bacterial SSU rRNA
Rfam family: Bacterial small subunit ribosomal RNA
Source: RNAcentral
CUAUGCACUCCUACGGGAGGCAGCAGUGGGGAAUAUUGCACAAUGGGCGCAAGCCUGAUGCAGCCAUGCCGCGUGUAUGAAGAAGGCCUUCGGGUUGUAAAGUACUUUCAGCAGUGAGGAAGGUGGGUAUGUUAAUAGCAUAUUCAUUUGACGUUAGCUGCAGAAGAAGCACCGGCUAACUCCGUGCCAGCAGCCGCGGUAAUACGGAGGGUGCGAGCGUUAAUCGGAAUUACUGGGCGUAAAGCGCAUGCAGGUGGUUUGUUAAAUCAGAUGUGAAAGCCCGGGGCUCAACCUCGGAAUUGCAUUUGAAACUGGCAAACUAGAGUACUGUAGAGGGGGUAGAAUUUCAGGUGUAGCGGUGAAAUGCGUAGAGAUCUGAAGGAAUACCGGUGGCGAAGGCGGCCCCCUGGACAGAUACUGACACUCAGAUGCGAAAGCGUGGGGAGCAAACAGGAUUAGAUACCCUGGUAG